AUCUAGAUGACCCAAAAAAUACAGCAUAUGCCAAACAGCUACUCCUUUUCUUCCGUUGCAAAAACAGGUAAACACACCUCCCAUUCUUAGACCAGAAGCCAACAAGAAACGCACGGAAAACAAAACAAAAAUGUUCCCUCCCUCCCACUUCCUCUUCCUUCCUAUUCCAACUCCCCCCAAAAAAAGGUCACCAACCCAGAGCACCCGGAGCACCACCAAACGCCGGCCGGACGCAGAGGCAGGCAGCGGCAGAGGCCCGGCGCCCUUCCAUGCUCGCCGGCGCCGGCCGCCGCUGAUGCCCAGCCCGCCCAAGGACCGCCCCGCCGGCCGCCUCGGCCGCCUCAUCUCCGCGCUCCGCCCCGCGCGCGCCGGCCCGCUCCCCGUCCAGACCGGCUUCCCCACCUCCCUCGCCGACCUCUUCGUCAAGAACCAUGGCCGCCUCAAGAAGCAGCAGGGGCCCUCCUCCGGCAGGCGCAAGAGGCGCGGCGCUCCCCCCUUGCCUUCCCCGGUGCCCUCUCCCCCGCCUCCCUCUCCUCCACCGCCGUCGCCCCCGCCGGCCGCCGUCUCCCCGCCGUCGGCCCAGCCAGGGCCCGAUCCUCCGCGGGCGGAGCCCGUCUGCCGCCCCGGAGGCCAAGCCGCCGGCCUCGGAUUGGGGUUCCUCGCGCUCGUCGGCGUGGCGUCCCUCGCCCUCCUCGUGAUCUGGAGCAGGAAGGUGGUUGCGGCCGUCACCGUCGCCGCCUUCUCGCUCUUCCUGCUGGAAUCCGUCAGGGCGUCCUCGCUUCGACGGCGGCCCCGGCCCCCGGCGCCCACCACGGAGCUGGAUAUCGACGGGCGCGGCUACGUCUCGCCGAUCCGGGAGCUGGAGGCGGAGCCGGAGCCGCUGGGAUCGAGCUUCUCCGACUCCGGCAGGGGGUUCAGCGCCUCCACCCUCGGCAUUGACGAGAGGAGCGAGGCCGGCGAGGAUUCGUGCGUUUGGGAGCCGAAGCCGAGGAAGAGGUCGCCGUGGAGGAAGCUGAUCCCCCGAAAAUUGCAGAGAGGCCGGAAGGUUGCCAAGGACUCGGGCUCCCUGUCAAGUUCUUUCCGGUCAAGUUCCUUCCGCAGCGAGGUCAGCCUAGCGGAUUCAACGGUCGGCGGCAAUGCAAUUGCCAGGGCGACGGAUCCCCCGGACUCUCGCCGCGGCAGACGCAGCCAAGCGAAUGCCAAGGGGGAGACCGCCGCUGCCAGAUCGCGGGACUCAUCGGGCCGUCUCCGCCUUGGCAUCAUGGGCGACGGCGACGGCGCCGGCAUCAAAUCCGCUGAUUCAUCGGGCCCUCUCCGCGGCAUGGGCGGCGCCGAGGUGCGCAACAACGGCGCUUCGAUAGAAAUCGAGGAGCCGGCCGGUGUCGCGGUGGCGGACGGCGUUGGCGUAGGACGAGGAGGAGGAGGAGGGUUUCCCUUGGCAGCUGUGACCGUGGUCGUCCUCGUAGGCUUGGUCGCCGGGCGGCUCCCGGCCGUGGCGCUCACCGUGCUGGUGUGCGCGGCGCUCCAGAGACUGCGGCGGGACGGGACGGUGGUGCCGGCUUGGGAGGGGAGGGGAGGCGGUUAGAGCUUUCCAUGGCGGGCGUAGGAGGAGCCUCCCGAUCCCAAGGUUGAUGUAUGUAAAUUAGUGAGUGAGUGCCAUUAAACAGCAGGAGUGAGUGAACGGUGGUACUAUAAUCCUUCCUUACUACAUACUUGUUCUUAAGUUAUUCAAAAGCUUGAGCGCAUUCCGUGAUCCCUGAUGGUCUCUCCUCCGGCACCCUAGUGGAAUUCAGCAUCCAGUUCUUGUGCCAUUCACCCGCCCGCACAAACGUCCAUUCACGCCGCCAAUGGCCGGCCGGGCUGGUCUCCGCCAUGGCCACAGGGUGUUGGGACAGAGAGGACCAACUGGUCGAGUGCAGAUGGCACAUGCCCUGCAACCCCAACACGACGAGCAGAAACUUGGGCGUUUUAGCGAGAACGUAGAGCGAGACAAAGCGCAAGCUCCGUC
This 2008-nucleotide ribosomal RNA is filed under the name Triticum aestivum (bread wheat). RNAcentral describes it as "partial small subunit ribosomal RNA". Lineage: Eukaryota; Viridiplantae; Streptophyta; Magnoliopsida; Poales; Poaceae. The record is from RNAcentral.